Molecule: ribosomal RNA, 254 nt
Filed under: uncultured bacterium
Lineage: Bacteria
Description: partial 16S ribosomal RNA
Rfam family: Bacterial small subunit ribosomal RNA
Source: RNAcentral
UACGGGGGGAGCAAGCGUUGUUCGGAUUUACUGGGCGUAAAGGGCGCGUAGGCGGUCAGCACAAGUCAGUUGUGAAAUCUCCGGGCUUAACUCGGAAAGGUCAACUGAUACUGUGCGACUAGAGUGCGGAAGGGGCAACUGGAAUUCUCGGUGUAGCGGUGAAAUGCGUAGAUAUCGAGAGGAACACCUGCGGCGAAGGCGGGUUGCUGGGCCGACACUGACGCUGAGGCGCGAAAGCCAGGGGAGCGAAUGGG